AAUGUCACGUAAGAAUCAGUGAAAAAUUUUCGCUGCCUAAAAGGAAUUCAAUGUCUCCUUUCAAAAAUCAAAACUAUUUUCUUUUUGCUAACAUGAUACUGUUAUCCUUUUUUUUUUUUUUUUUUUAUUUUUAGCGAGAGGAGUAUUUCAACAGACUAAAGCAAAGGGUUUUACAAUAUGAUUUAGUCGUAGACAAACUGAUUAUCAAGGAUGUGCAACUCACUGCGUCAAAUGAUCCAUCAUAUUUUGUUUUCGAGGAUCUUCUGUAUCAGAUUAUGUUAUGUUUCUAUCGAGAUACGGAUGUUCUAUCAAUUUUUCCAUCACACAUCUGCGCAACACCGAUCCGCGGAGUGCUCAGGGGCAAGGCGCCGACUACCAAGAACUCCGUGUACUACCCCCGAAUGGAAUCAUACCUUUCCACGGAUUCACCAUGUACGGUAAGUUCAAAACAAUCGCACUGUCUUAAUAAGCACCUUGAGUGAAUGAUUCGAUUAAAGAAAAAAGGUGAA
RNAcentral lists this long non-coding RNA (509 nucleotides) under Bemisia tabaci. RNAcentral describes it as "lncRNA ENSSWEETPG012463". The record is from RNAcentral. Lineage: Eukaryota; Metazoa; Arthropoda; Insecta; Hemiptera; Aleyrodidae.